RNAcentral lists this ribosomal RNA (28 nucleotides) under Callistachys lanceolata. Its description in RNAcentral is "partial 26S ribosomal RNA". The record is from RNAcentral. Lineage: Eukaryota; Viridiplantae; Streptophyta; Magnoliopsida; Fabales; Fabaceae.
GAGACCUCAGGUCAGGCGGGACUACCCG